Molecule: ribosomal RNA, 475 nt
Filed under: uncultured bacterium
Lineage: Bacteria
Description: bacterial SSU rRNA
Rfam family: Bacterial small subunit ribosomal RNA
Source: RNAcentral
CUACGUGCCAGCAGCCGCGGUAAUACGUAGGUCCCGAGCGUUGUCCGGAUUUAUUGGGCGUAAAGCGAGCGCAGGCGGUUAGAUAAGUCUGAAGUUAAAGGCUGUGGCUUAACCAUAGUACGCUUUGGAAACUGUUUAACUUGAGUGCAAGAGGGGAGAGUGGAAUUCCAUGUGUAGCGGUGAAAUGCGUAGAUAUAUGGAGGAACACCGGUGGCGAAAGCGGCUCUCUGGCUUGUAACUGACGCUGAGGCUCGAAAGCGUGGGGAGCAAACAGGAUUAGAUACCCUGGUAGUCCACGCCGUAAACGAUGAGUGCUAGGUGUUAGACCCUUUCCGGGGUUUAGUGCCGCAGCUAACGCAUUAAGCACUCCGCCUGGGGAGUACGACCGCAAGGUUAAAACUCAAAUGAAUUGACGGGGGCCCGCACAAGCGGUGGAGCAUGUGGUUUAAUUCGAUGCAACGCGAAGAACCUUACC